UAGGUAACCUGCCCAUGUGUCCGGGAUAACUGCUGGAAACGGUAGCUAAAACCGGAUAGGUAUACAGAGCGCAUGCUCAGUAUAUUAAAGCGCCCAUCAAGGCGUGAACAUGGAUGGACCUGCGGCGCAUUAGCUAGUUGGUGAGGUAACGGCCCACCAAGGCGAUGAUGCGUAGCCGGCCUGAGAGGGUAAACGGCCACAUUGGGACUGAGACACGGCCCAGACUCCUACGGGAGGCAGCAUG
Molecule: ribosomal RNA, 244 nt
Filed under: uncultured bacterium
Lineage: Bacteria
Description: partial 16S ribosomal RNA
Rfam family: Bacterial small subunit ribosomal RNA
Source: RNAcentral